RNAcentral lists this ribosomal RNA (459 nucleotides) under uncultured bacterium. Its description in RNAcentral is "partial 16S ribosomal RNA". It matches the Rfam family "Bacterial small subunit ribosomal RNA", at positions 338 to 795 of the family's 1533-position model. The record is from RNAcentral.
CCUACGGGAGACAGCAGUGAGGAAUAUUGGUCAAUGGUCGGGAGACUGAACCAGCCAAGCCGCGUGAGGGAUGAAGGUACAGAGUAUCGUAAACCUCUUUUGUCAGGGAACAAAGGCGGGGACGUGUCCCCGGAUGAGUGUACCUGAAGAAAAAGCAUCGGCUAACUCCGUGCCAGCAGCCGCGGUAAUACGGAGGAUGCGAGCGUUAUCCGGAUUUAUUGGGUUUAAGGGGUGCGGAGGCGGUCUGUUAAGUCAGCGGUCAAAGCCCGGGGCUCAACCCCGGCCCGCCGUUGAAACUGGCAGUCGCGAGUUGGAGAGAAGUAUGCGGAAUGCGCGGUGUAGCGGUGAAAUGCAUAGAUAUCGCGCAGAACUCCGAUUGCGAAGGCAGCAUGCCGGCUCCACACUGACGCUGAGGCACGAAAGCGUGGGUAUCGAACAGGAUUAGAUACCCCUGUAGUC